Molecule: small nucleolar RNA, 89 nt
Organism: Neocloeon triangulifer
Lineage: Eukaryota; Metazoa; Arthropoda; Insecta; Ephemeroptera; Baetidae
Product: small nucleolar RNA snR60/Z15/Z230/Z193/J17
Exons: 1
Source: RefSeq, a predicted model, not a curated record
AUUUUUCAGUAUGAUGAUUUCAUAGUUCAGUUGACAAACUAUGAUGAAACUAAUAGCAAUUUGUCUUUCGCUCCUAUCUGAUGGAUAAU